RNAcentral lists this ribosomal RNA (239 nucleotides) under uncultured bacterium. Its description in RNAcentral is "partial 16S ribosomal RNA". It matches the Rfam family "Bacterial small subunit ribosomal RNA", at positions 118 to 354 of the family's 1533-position model. The record is from RNAcentral.
UGAGGAACAUGACCUUCGGCGGGGGAUAGCCGGCCCAACGGCCGGGUAAUACCGCGUACGACCUUUUGGGGACAUCCCCGACUGGUGAAAGCAGCAAUGCGCCGAUGGAGUGCCUCGCGGCCUAUCAGCUAGUUGGUGGGGUAACGGCUCACCAAGGCGACGACGGGUAGCUGGUCUGAGAGGAUGGCCAGCCACAUUGGGACUGAGACACGGCCCAGACUCCGUACGGGAGCAGCAGG